Non-coding RNA from Heterocephalus glaber (naked mole-rat), 2915 nucleotides. The record is from RefSeq and is a predicted model, not a curated record. NCBI's taxonomy places the organism in Eukaryota, Metazoa, Chordata, Mammalia, Rodentia, Bathyergidae.
GCUCUCAGGGGAAAGGGACUGACCCAGGUCCUGCUCUGCAGGGCUCCCUGGCCCGGCGACCAUGCACCGAGGCACAGGAUGAAUGAAUGCCGCACAGCGAGGCACGGCUGAGGAAGGAGGGCGUGGGCCCAGCGUAAAGCAGUCACCCACGCUGACUGACGUGCGCGAGUCUCCACCAGCCGUCAGCAGCACAGUGGCGCCACCUAGCGACCCCGCCGGCACACCGGAGUGACACGCUACGGUGACGCCGGGACACUGCGCUCUCACUGCAUCUUCCGAAAGGCCUUGAUGGGAGCGGCUCUGAGAGCAGCAGGCUCUGGAGUGCGGAGAACCUGGGCAAACCCUGACCCCACUCCCUUCGGCGCGGGGCCUUGCAGGAGGCACCAGGACCCCGAGCCCCGUUCACGGCCGCAGUCCGCGGCGUCAGGGCUGCGCGGGCCCCAGCAGGUGCUCGCUCUCUUGGUGGCCUUUAUAUCCAGAAGCAAUGCGAACCCUCGGGGUCCCGACCUUGUCCUUCUGCCGUGUCCGGCUUCUCGGCUGAGCAGAGGGGAGCUGCUGAGGUGACCCCUCCGAUCCCUGCAGCUGAAACCAGCUCGUCCUGCCGGUGCCUCAGACUGCAGUGAGCGCGCAGGGCCCUGGCGGAGCUGGCCGUGUCCUCACAUUUGCCGUCCCACAGCGGGGACCGACAGGCGCCCACCUGUCAGCACCUCGGCCAGGGGCCCACCCGUAGCCCACCAGAGAGAUUCAAGAGGACAGUGCUGCAGUGAAACAUGAACAGGCUGGUACCAGAAAAGACCACCAGGGAGCCAUAGUGCCGACUCAGUAAGUAAAAACUCCAGAGGGCAGAAACCCCGCAGAGGACGCUGCUGAAAGCCUACGGGCGCAUCAGAAACUGAACCCCUGGGAAGCGGAGUCGGACAGACACAGGGCUGAUUCACUAUCCAAAGUGGGAACUCCAGAGCGGAUGGGGUAGAAGCAAUACUAAAAUUAGUUACAGUACAGAAGGAAAGGACUUUCCUGAGUCAAAGACCUUAAAUCUUCAAAUCAUAGCACUCAUGUUCAGAUUUUUGAAUUCCAAAAAAUGAAUGCAAAAUACUGUAAGAAGGCCAAACACUUACAGACAGAGAAAAAAGUUAUCUACAAAAGAAAGAGAAUCAGGCUGGUAGCACGGCCAUCUGGAAAGCAGUGCUAGAAGUAGUUUUCAGAGUCCCAAAGGAUGACCCAAGCAUUUACAGAGACUCACAAAUUUUCAUUUAUGUUGAGAAAAAUAAAGGUAUGUUCAGACAUACAAAGGUUCAGAAAUAACACCAGGGAAGCACCAUUUCCUGAAGAAGUUGUCUGAGGAAAUAUUCCAGCCAAACAAAAUCCAAAUACAUAACUCAAACAGGAAAAUAAGGGAGACAAGCAAUAGCCCAUAAUGAGCAAAGAAACCAGUAAAAGUUCAGUCAACUCUCACUACGGAUUAUGAGAUGAUGUAUUUAUUAAGAAAGAAAGUUUACUAAUUUGGACUAAAAUCCUAGAUUAUUUCUAGAACAUUUAAAAAUCUGUUAGAAAUAGAGACAUCAACAAAAUCAUAAUCAGAGAACUGUAAACUGUGCUCACAAUUUAGUAAGUCACAGAGGUAAUAUUACAGCUGGGUGUGGUGGUGCAUGCCUGUAAUCCCAGCACUCAGGAGGCUGAGGCAGGAGGAUUGCCAUGACUUUGGGCCAGCCUGGGCUACACAGGGAGUUCAAGGCCAGCCUGAAUUACAUAGCGAGACCCUGUCUCAAAAACCAAAUCAAUUUUAUAGAGCUUAUGACUCCCCUGUUAAAGCUUAAAAUAAGUAUUUUUGUUUUGGGUUUUGAUUCUUUUACUUAUCAUGAUUAUUAAAAUAAUUAGGUAGUGAGCUGCCAGAAGUCAUUAAAAUUAACAAAAGACGGUAGUAGUUAGCUACGAUUUACACAGUCGUUACUAUACACAGACCUGUUUAAUGAAUAGCUCUCCACAGCCCCAUGAUGCAGGCAUCAUUAUCUCCAUCUUCCAGACAGGGAUACUGAACCCCAGGGAGCUUACAUUACUUGACCAAGGUUAAAAGCAGCAUGUGAUGGUACAGAGAUUCAAACGCAGGCAGUCUGCCUCCAGAACCUGAGCUAUUUUGGUACAGAUUAAUGGGCAAGAAAUACUAAACGUCAAUUUAUUAGAGAAAAAAAAUUUACUAGAGAGGAGAGAAAUGGCCAAUAAACCCAAAACUUUUAUCUUAUGAUUUAAAAAAGGAAUAUUUAAAAAUAACAGACACAAAGAGUAACUCAUUGGUAGUGAGGGUACGAGGUCUAAAACCCUGCCUCUGUCAUAUAUAUUUUUUUUUGGUACCGGGGAUCAAACUCGGGUCCUUGUGCUUGCGCAGCAGGCAGCGAAACCACUGAGCUAAAUCCCUGGCCCCAUACACUCUUGGUAGAAUAAAAAAAGUAUAUCCUUGGGACUGAAUCCAGGGAGCACUAAGCUACAUCCCUAACCUUUCUUAUUUUUUAUUUUGAGGUGAGGUCUCUCUAAAUUGCCCAGGCUGUCCUUGAACUGCCCAGGUAAUCCUCCUGCCUCAACCUCCCCCAUCAAUACAUCUUAUGUAUUGAAACUAAAUAGCAUGUAUCAAUUUAUAAAGUUCACACAUUCUUUGACUCAGUAAUUCUAUUUCCAGGAACAUAUUCUGAGGAUGUAACUGGAUAAGAGUGUGAAGAUGUACAUAUACAAGGAUUUCUAAUGUAAGGUGAAAAUCUGGGCUAUGCAUAUUACAUGUAAAUAUAUUUUCUGUAUUCAUGUAUCCACAGACAGAAACACUGAUUUUCUGUAAGAAAAAACUUUGUACUCUCUACAUUGUUGUAUUUGUUCCAUAAACACUAUGCAUGUAUUAUAAACAAAACUAGUAAAAAUGCUUUCACAUA